GCAAGUCGAGGGGUAACAUUGUAGCUUGCUACAGAUGACGACCGGCGCACGGGUGCGUAACGCGUAUACAAUCUGCCUUGUACUGAGGGAUAGCCUUUGGAAACGAAGAUUAAGACCUCAUGGUAUUAUUGAUUGGCAUCAAUUAAUAAUAAAGGUUACGGUACAAGAUGAGUAUGCGUCCUAUUAGCUAGAUGGUGUGGUAACGGCAUACUAUGGCGACGAUAGGUAGGGGCCCUGAGAGGGGGAUC
Molecule: ribosomal RNA, 248 nt
Filed under: uncultured bacterium
Lineage: Bacteria
Description: partial 16S ribosomal RNA
Rfam family: Bacterial small subunit ribosomal RNA
Source: RNAcentral